GGGGAAAGUCCAAAAGAUUGAAACACAAACAAGGCCUUGUUGAUUAACUUUUGUAGAAGGAGGCAUUGAAUAUAUCAUACUCUAGACUCUAGGCAAAGGUCUAGCAACCCGGCUGCUACAUUCUUUUCAAGGCUCUCUAGUUCUGACUUUCUGCUACGACAUUUAAUAGCUGGCUGUUGAUCUUUUUUGAUUGAAUUUUGAUUUUUGUCACGCCAAACUUUCGGUACAUCCAAUAAAAUGCCGCACUUAAAUGUUGUCUUUGUCAUUUUUGAGCAAGUGGAAUGCCUGAUGUAAAAGGUUUACGGCGUUACAGGCUUACAGCUGCUAACAAGAAUCACUUCUUUUCAGGUAAAUAAAGAGAAAAACGAUGUCGCAUAUCACAUGAAGUGUCGACACAUCAGCCUGAUCUUUUUGUCUACUUGUGGAUAGAUUCUCCUUCAUCCGCAUUGCCGGUUCUCCCUUUUCCUAUUGUCUGCGACUCCGCUUCGAGAGAAGGAUUUGUGCGCGGGGCUACCCACCAUUUCUUGAGAUGAUGAGAUAAUUCAUAAGAUAUGUGGUAAAAUUAAUUAAAUUUAGCAUUAAUAUAUAUAUAUAUGAUAAAUUCUCUUAAAGAAUCCGUU
Molecule: long non-coding RNA, 620 nt
Filed under: Citrus x clementina
Lineage: Eukaryota; Viridiplantae; Streptophyta; Magnoliopsida; Sapindales; Rutaceae
Description: Citrus clementina (C. clementina) long non-coding RNA (CCLE_LNC003606)
Source: RNAcentral